RNAcentral lists this transfer RNA (77 nucleotides) under Rhodothermaceae bacterium RA. RNAcentral's name for it is "tRNA-Ile". It matches the Rfam family "tRNA". From Rfam's summary of the family: Transfer RNA (tRNA) molecules are approximately 80 nucleotides in length. Lineage: Bacteria; Pseudomonadati; Rhodothermota; Rhodothermia; Rhodothermales; Rhodothermaceae. The record is from RNAcentral.
GGGGCUGUAGCUCAGGUGGUUAGAGCGCACGCCUGAUAAGCGUGAGGUCGGAGGUUCAACUCCUCCCAGCCCCACCC